Molecule: ribosomal RNA, 542 nt
Filed under: uncultured bacterium
Lineage: Bacteria
Description: partial 16S ribosomal RNA
Rfam family: Bacterial small subunit ribosomal RNA
Source: RNAcentral
UGGGGAAUUUUGGACAAUGGGCGCAAGCCUGAUCCAGCCAUGCCGCGUGCGGGAAGAAGGCCUUCGGGUUGUAAACCGCUUUUGUCAGGGAAGAAAUCUUCUGAGUUAAUACCUCGGGAGGAUGACGGUACCUGAAGAAUAAGCACCGGCUAACUACGUGCCAGCAGCCGCGGUAAUACGUAGGGUGCAAGCGUUAAUCGGAAUUACUGGGCGUAAAGCGUGCGCAGGCGGUUUUGUAAGACAGAGGUGAAAUCCCCGGGCUCAACCUGGGAACUGCCUUUGUGACUGCAAGGCUUGAGUGCGGCAGAGGGGGAUGGAAUUCCGCGUGUAGCAGUGAAAUGCGUAGAUAUGCGGAGGAACACCGAUGGCGAAGGCAAUCCCCUGGGCCUGCACUGACGCUCAUGCACGAAAAGCGUGGGGAGCAAACAGGAUUAGAUACCCUGGUAGUCCACGCCCUAAACGAUGUCAACUGGUUGUUGGGAAGGUUCCUUCUCAGUAACGUAGCUAACGCGUGAAGUUGACCGCCGGGGGAGUACGGCCGC